AACGCACAUUGCGCCCGCCAGUAUUCUGGCGGGCAUGCCUGUUCGAGCGUCAUUUCAACCAUCAAGCCCCCGGCUUGUGUUGGGGACCUGCGGCUGCCGCAGGCCCUGAAAGACAGUGGCGGUCUCGCUGUAGCACCGAGCGUAGUAGCAUACACCUCGCCCAGGGCGCGCAGCGGGCUCCGGCCGUAAAACCCCCUUCUUCACAAGGUUGACCUCGGAUCAGGUAGGAAUACCCGCUGAACUUAA
RNAcentral lists this unclassified non-coding RNA (246 nucleotides) under uncultured fungus. RNAcentral describes it as "partial contains 5.8S ribosomal RNA, internal transcribed spacer 2, and large subunit ribosomal RNA". The stretch from base 1 to 52 matches the Rfam family "5.8S ribosomal RNA", at positions 103 to 154 of the family's 154-position model. The record is from RNAcentral. Lineage: Eukaryota; Fungi.